GGGUGACGCGACCCAAGGCUAUAAAAGCAAAAGUUGUGGUCCCUAUCAGCAGGAGUUAGUGACAAGGAGGGCUGCCGUAUGGGUUUAGCAGAGGGGAGGAAGUGGCUAGUUCAGGGCUCAGAUGAGAUGGCAGAGCUAGAGGCAGACGCUAGCAUGAGGGUGGGAGGAGGGAAAUGUACUAGACUAGAUCCCUACCUCUUUGGGUUUCUCGUGGUAGAUCCACAGACUAGAUUUGGGGACAGUGGUCGUGUGGACGGCAGCUUCCAAAGCGCCUUCAACAGUCCACACCAGACUGGCCCUGCGGUCUGCUGGAGUGGGGGAACCUGACUCUCACAGGGGCCUACAUGGACCCAGUGUUGUAGAGCAAGUGAUGUAGACUCGGGCCCUUGAGGCCCUGGAUCUCCUGGAAGAUUGGCAGUGGGGUCAGCUUUGAACUUGACAAUGGCAGCAGACCCUUUUUUUCCAGAUAGGGGUUGUGAACCCGCCUGGGAAUGAGGCCUGUCCAAUGGACCCUGGACUUAGCUGAGAGCUCUGCCCCGGGUGGUAUGUAAUUUGGGCGUGGCCUCACAGCACCCAUUUCUGGGUGCGAGGGGUGGCCUGAGGAGUUGUCUUUAAGAUCUGCUAGGUGGGGCCCACGGAGAUGAAGGCGGCUUGGGGCCACGUUGACCUCAGCUUUAUCUUUCAGGUGGCAGUUCCCCUCUGGACUUUCCCUAGGUUCCGAGGCACUCUCUUCUGUGAACUCCCUCCUCCCCUUCUCAUCCCUCUAACUCUGAGGUUAUGGGUUCCCUUAACCUUGCCUCUGGGUUAUCUGGUAAGCCUGGGGAAGGUAGAGAGGCGGAGUUGGCGUCUUGGACUCGGUGUUUUGGUACUACUGGGAAAGUGGAGGACACCCUGACUUGGGAGGGGAGGGGAGGGUGGGCUCACAGCCAUGGUUUCGGUCACCCGAAAGAACGCCUCAUGGACGAGGUUUAUUACUGUAGUGUUCAUCAUGGCAAGCAGAUGGCACCAGGAGAAAUGGAACCCCUGCAGUGCAGGAGGGCAGACCCUGGAGGAGACGGCGACCUAAGCUGAUGCCUACACAGUGAAUUCCAGAGCUUAGGAAGUCCUGCACUGCCAUGUGUCCAGGCCUUACUCAGGAAGGCCGUCAUCUUAAGUGGUUCAGAUCAGCCUAUGGGGUUGGGGAUGGGCAGACGCUUCCAGCUGGCGGGGCUGUCGGCCAUGAAUGUUCCGGAUGAAUGUCUUGUUCUGGGAGCCUCAUUCUCCGGAUGCAUGAAUGCUAGCCAGCACCCUCCUUCCUGGGGGUAGAGGCAUUCAGCUGCUGUAUCUUCUAAAUCAAGCCUCCAGUCUUUAGUUCUGUGCGACAAACUUGGCUUCGAGAAGAUUGCUUAUGGUGUAGAACACUUAACUCUGAUGCCCUCAACGCGGCAUGGUGCCUCGUAGAUGGUGUUUGCAGGAGGAGCCCAGUGACCUCGCCCACCUUUCCUGCUUCUGCAGCCUGCAGGCCUCUGCAUUGCUAAGGCAUUAAGUGUGAUUAAAAACUUUGGGGAUUGGGGAAAGCUGUUCAAUUUCAAAUGCUGAACUGGAAGAGUAUUAGCUGAUUGUUAAAAUGGUUGGGGUGUCGUGUUUAAAGAGUAUGGGAGGGUACAAGUUGGCUGCAAGUUCUGUUGGGAUAUGUAUAUGGCAUGUCUACUUGCGUUGGGAUGGCAUCUGGGAUUUUCUGUGGGUUCGGUUUUGGUACUGGGUGGUGAGCAGGUGUUACCCUACUGAGUGACCAUUGUUAUCGUUUCUUUUCAUUUCUGACUUGGGGCCUGGCAGCCUAUACCAGGCUGGCCUUGGCGCUCAACACUGCUGGGAUUAGGGGUGUCAUCUAAAACUUCCAGCUUAAACUUGAGUUUUACUGGGUCAGGCAGGCUUCAGAGGUAGGAUUGCUGGGGCAAGCAGGGCUCAGCUUGGCAUUGGUGUCUUGGCCAGAGGCUCGGUGAGGGAUUGGGGUGCUGGCAAGGGAUGUGGCUUGAUGGGAGUGACGAUUAGGGAACUAAAUGGCUCACAUAAUGAAAAUGUAGAAGUUGCUGGUAAAUCCUUACUGUGGGUGAAUGAAUUGUUGAGGUGCAGUAAUGGUUGCCUGGAAAAUACCAAUCAGGAAAAACAAAAUUGAUUUGCUCUGCUGUUGAAUGGAAGAUGGUGUCAAACUCAAGAAUGCCCAAAACACACACCAGCCUGUGGAGGUGGUGGAGAGGUGCUGAGGAAGGGUUUGUGAAUGCCUACAUUGUGGGCUCUUAAAGGCAUUGGCCUUUGUACUGGAGGUUGACAGAUUCUGCUGGGUUUAUAAUUCAAAUUCUUUCAUACUGUGUGGUUAAAUUCUAAUGCUAUUAUGCCUAAAGGAAUUUAAUUUGCAAGUCAUGUCUUAUAUAACACUACAGGAAUUUAAUUGCAACCCAUGCCUUAUGAAACAUAAUGAAUUUCCGGGAUUGGCUAGGAGACAAAAGUUGUUGCUUACUUGACUAACAAAUCAGUCAUUGUGACAGGGAACAUGACCAUGCACGUGCUGUGAAAUUACUGUGUACCUUUGCUAAGGCUGUAAUGAAAAUACGGUGUUUAGCUUGAAUGGUGCUCCCAACCAUCCCUGAGCAGAGGGGAAACUGUAACUGUCUGUCAAAUGAGUUUGGGAAAUAAAAGUCAAACUGGGGGUUGCUGGGGACAUCUUACUAGAAAAUGGUCUGUAAACAUUGAAAACCCUGGGUGUAAUGUAACUGUCUUUCCCCAAUCCUGCUCAACCUCGGGACUUUGUCUUCGGGUUGGUGAUUUGUGUAUUGUGUUUUAUUUGUUUUAAAGUCAUGGUGUGACCAGGGAAUGACACUGGGUCAGCAGAGUGUUGGUCACCUUGGAAUGGGAAAUGGGGGGAGCUGUAGGUCACAGCACCUCUUUGUUCUAAUCAUCUUUCUCCUUUACAGCAAAAUAAAGGUUUGAGAUUGAAACACCUUGGAACCCUUGUAUCACUGUUACAUUCUUGACCUCUGUCACUUUGAGAGUUCCAGGCCUAGACUUAGCUCUGUCAUGGAGCCAGUGAGAACCGGUCACCUUCCCCCUGUGAGAACUGGGGGGAGGGGCUGCUCACUGUUGGGAGCUGGUAAGGAAGUGUUCUGGACAUUAUCCAGAGCAUUUCCAGGUUGUAUUUCAAACUGGUAUUUCAUGUCUUCAUGAAACUGGUGUGGGCUUGAUUUGGGCAAUUUGUAAAUCCUAUCUGCCUAAGGAGUUGGACUUUAUUUAUCUUCAGGUACGUGACUAAAGUCACUGGGAAGGGUGUGGGCAGAAGCCCUUGGAAUCCAGGGAGUGUAUCUGGAGCCAACCUGUAUGUGAAUUGGCCUAUUGGUGUCUCAUUACAACUGGAAAAUGUUGCUGCUCAGGCAGAUUUUAAGCUUAGGACAUUACCAUGGUAGGACUGGAAUCUGGCAGUUACAGUGAACCCUUGUCUAUGUAAGGAUGAGUCUUGAACUGGAGUGGGGUGGGGACCAAACAAAGGAUGAGGAGUGGCUUCCGUCUUUCCAGCUCGGGUGACCAAUUCCUUGUACGGAGAAGCCAGAGUGGGGCGUCUCAGGAGCUUCCUGUCUGGACUUGUGGGACUACCAAGAGUAGGUGCUGCUGCAGCUGAGAACAGCUCAUCUCCACCCAUACUUUUUUUCCCCUUUUUACUUUUGUAUUUCAAAAGGUCUCACUGUAGCCCAGACUUGACUUAAAAUUUAAAGAUCCACUAGCAGCUGCCUCCCAGGUGCUGGGGUUGGAGGUGCACUGCUUCUCCUGGUCUCCCUACCCUUUCUAGGCUGGUCUGUUCUAGCCUCUUUUGGCUUCUUACCUGGUUUCUACACCUCCAUCCCCUUUUCCAGAACUCUGGUUUUUAUGUUGUUACAAAGUUCUCUGUGUUCUGUGGCAGUGGGCUGGUAAGGAGUUCACCCCCAGCUAAUUAGAAGUGGUAUAGAGACAGGAUAACCGGAGGCUGAGCAAUCCUGUGUGCAGACUUGGAGGGCUGUUGGUUUGGGGUUUGUUAUUUGAGAGCCCAGGUUGGUGUGGAACUCUGCAAUUUUCCUCCCUCAGCUUCCCAAAUGUUGGAGAUGCAGACAUGAGCCGCACUAUCCUACAAGGACUGGUCUUUGCCCUGGGGUCCUGGACUAUUGGGUGGCCACAGACAAGUCUGGGUAUAGGCUCAUUCUUUGAACUCCCAGAGGUAGCAGUUGACCUGGAAUUUAGUACUGAGGCUGAUCCUGUAUGAAUGAGAAGCAAAGGUUGUGUUGGUUUUUUUCUUUUUUAAAAGAUAAAUGGAGAGGCAGCAGCCGCUGGUUGACUACACGGCGACUUCAGAUGUAGCCUGUUACAGAGAGACCUGACACCUGCCAUUUAGUUUGUCUUAUGAUAGUAAGAGACCAAAAGAAACUUGAAUGUGGGCUAACCUGUGGUCAUUGUCGUGGGCUGCAGAAGCAUUAGUCCGUGGUGGUGUCCAUGUCUUAGCUGCUGUUACUGAAGGAAGGAAUGAAGGUUCUUCCAAACGACUAGUAUUUGUAUAUUCAUCUCAAUAUGGUUGCAGACUGGGAUUGUUAAGGAAAAGAAAACUAAUAAACCAAAACAAGAAAGAUAUUCCCAUGAGUUCCUGGGCCCUUCCUUGGACGGGAUGCCCUCGCAUCCCUCUUUCCUUCCCACACUGCUCGAGGAUGAAGAGGAUUUACUGUAAAUAUCGCAAAUGGGGGGAAAGCUCAUUUAUGUUCCAUUAACAAGCGUUACUGGCAUUUGUUUCGGAUUUUUCUUUUCCUGGGCAUCAGCUAUAUGUGUGUGUACUUUACACAAAAAGUUGGAUUGUGGUUAAAUACUGUCCUGUGAUGCAUAGUGAAAGCCUUGUCUUGAUGGCCAGAGCAUCCUUUUGGUACCAAAUGCUCCAUUGAAUGACUGUCUUAAACAACCUCAUGUAAGUGUUGAUGAAUGAGGGGAGGUCAGAGGAUGACUCUCAGGUUUGGUUGCCGCUAGGUUCACACAGCAGUCGCUUUUCCUGCCAGGCAGGCUCACCCAUCUGCCUUCAGCUAGUUAACUUUUAGGAAAUGGUUUGUGUUGGAGCCCAAGCUUUAUCCUAUCUGAGAUAUUCAGGUCAGUUCUGGAAGGAAAUGACUGUCAGUCCUAACUCCAGGCUCAUAUUGCUCCGUUGCUGUCCAGAGGGAUUUUUUGAGGUACUUUCCGUGAAGCUGGUGUGUGUGUGUGUGUGUGUGUGUAUGUGUGUGUACUCCGAGCGAUGUGACUGGCCAGUAUGCCUGGGUGCUUCAUGAACCCGACUCCUUUUGUGUGUCAUUUGCGCUCACAGCUAUCACUAGCAGGUUAUUCAAUGGAUUGAUCAAUUACUUGCAGCAGGUUAUUUCAAUGGAUUGAUUGAUUACUUGCUACUUUAACAUUUUUGUGGUGUGAUACACUGAAGAGAAGUUUUAGCCGUUUGUAAGUGUACAGUUUAGUGUGUUACACAGAUUAACUUGAUCAACUGACCUCCAGACCUUGCAAAACCUGAAACUACCCGCCAGGUGGGCUCUCUUCUCAGUCCCUUUCCGCUCUGUUUCUUUGAGUGGCAAUUCUGGAUCCCACAUGUAUGUGGAGCCACCCAGUGUUUAUCUUUUAUUACAUUUAUCUUCAUGUGUAGGCAUGUGUGUGGAGGUCAGGACAGUCAGCAGGAGCCGGUUCUCUCCUGGUUGUUUCUGCCUCCCAGUAUGCAUCUUGACUCGCUGUUUUGAUCACAGUAUCUGUGCAGUUUAUCUUGGUGUGUGAUUUUCUUUGCUUCCAUACAAGCUAGAUAAUUGAUAUUUUGUACAUUUUUUUGGCAUCUGUGUUCUGAUGAGCACACUUGGAGUUCUCCUACCCCCAGGCCUGUUGCCGUUAGGACCUCACUGCGGUGGGGAUGGUGCACGGAUACGUCUUUCUGAGACCAUUUCCUCCUCUUUAGGAUACAGUACAACCAUGGUGGAUGUCAGGUGACAUUUCAUUGUUGUCUUCCAUGUACUUAUUGAUCGUGUAGAUUUCUUCAGAAAACGCCAUUCAGGUCCUUGUCAUAUUUAAAAGGCUCGGUUAUUACCAUUGUUGACCUGCAGGAUUGUCUGUAUUAUGAAUAUUAACUCUUAUAUGAUUCGGCUGAUAUUUUUCCCCAUUCCAUAAGUUGCCUUUCAUUAUGUUCUGUUGAGGUUCUUUUGUAGUUUCGUAUAUUGUUUUUUGUGCGUGUUUGUGAAUUUGCUCAUAGGUGUGCCUGUGCCAGCACCCCUGAAGGUCGGAGGACAACUCGGGGUAGAUUCUAUCCUUCCACCCUGUGGAUCUGAGGUCUGAACUCAAUUGUCCAUCAGGCUUGGCAGCAAGUGCCUGCGCCUUUGGUGUCAUAUCUAAGAAAUCAUUGCUAAGUUCAACAUUGUAAAGUCUUUAUUCUUCCUUUAGUUGUUGUUUGAGAUAGGGUUUCUCAGUAGCUAUGGAGCCUGUCCUGGAACUCACUCUAGUCCUGGCUGGCCUUGAACUCACAGAGAUCAGCCUGUCUCUGCCUCCUGAGUGCUGGGAUUUAAGGCAUGUGCUGCUGCUACCACCACCAGCUAAUUAAAAGUGCUUUGUAUUAAUCCGCAUUUCUGUAAUUAUCGUCAGGUAGUCCGAGAGUUUAUCACUUGACCCACUGCCCGCAUUUCCCCACAGUCUCUGGUGAGAGGACCCUGCAGUGUGUGUAGUUGGGAGGGUCGGCUGGCAGUCCUGUCGUAUCUAUUGCCUUAUUUUCCUCUUGUGUUAAAACCAAGAUGUAUGUGAUGUACAAGGACUUAAACCAUGUAAGUCUGACUAUAACUGUAAGUUGCCUGGAGUCAGUGGCUUCUCAGUUUUCUUCAGCUGCUCAUGCCUGGGCUCGAUCUGUCAACACAGAUAGCCUUCUCGUGCUGUGGAUUCCUUCUGCUGCUAGGAGUGAUGGCGGGCAAUUGCUCCGGUUUCCCAGGGCCAGGCUUUCGUAGUCAUUGUCUCAGGCUCUACUGUAGAAACAGAAUGAAAUUGACCGUUUAAAAGUUGUCAGGAAGGUGCUGUGACACUCCAUAAGUGUCCUCUCUUCCCUGUUGAAACUUAGUGCACAGACUGGGUUAAUCCUAAUCUUUGGCACAGUGUGGCUCUUUCAUUUGCUUCCUCAUUUUUAAUAACUUGUCAACAUGUCUGACUCUUCUAUCAAUAUGAAAAGCAGGGCAGUGGGAAAAGUCAUUUUCUCCCUCUGUGCCUGUCACAUUGCACCCUGAGGGUCUCGCAGGCCAAUGUCAUACUAAAAAAACCUUAUCCAAAUGAAUUUUUCAAAGCAUAAAAUUUUCUGUUAUUUGUAACUUUGUAGAAGAAUUAAGUUGUCUGUAAUCUUCUGGAACUUUCUUAAUUGGAUAAAUUAAUCUCUUUCCUGCUAUUUACAGAAUUUGUGGGGUCCCCAUGAUGGUGCCUGGGUGGGUUCUCCUGAAGUUUCAUCAGAGAAGUAACUCCAACAGAACCCGGGUUGAGCACCCCCACAACCCCGAGGUAGCCAUUAUUACCGAUAUGCUGUGUCCUGCUGGUCUGUUCCUGUGUCUUUAUGGGAGACAGGCUGCAUCGUUUUCUUGUGUUUAACGUUAAGAUGGCACUGCCCACUGUCUCAUCUCGUGACACGAUUUUGCUUAGGAGUAGAGUCCUGUGAGCAUACAGCUGCCCCAUUCUUACCCUGGCUGCUAGUGACGGAAGGGUCCUCUCUGUUACAGAACUGACAGUUGUACUGUGAGAUCUCCACAGGCAACCCCUGUGCCUCAGUGUCGAGUGGGUAGCAGUCGUGGGUCAGACAAAUGCUCUAUUCUGUUGUCCUCCAGAGAUGGACAGGCCUGUGUACCCGAGUGUGAGAGUCGUUUUCAUGUCUUCCUAGGCCCUUCACACAUGGAACUUCACAUUUCUCCCAGUUUUCUUGGCUCUGUCUCAUAUGCACAGUGACCCCCCCAUGACUACCUGGUAUGUGAGAUAUUGUCAUCUAUGUGUAAACUUAAGAACUGUGACUUAGUUAUCAGGGACCUCAUGGUCCAAGACACACACACUCAAAAUGUAAUUUUGCCAAGGUACAGUUGUUUAAAUCACUCUGCCCUGAAACAGCUGAGCGCAUCCAGCCUGGAGCUUGCUGACCCCGUCACACUGGCUCUCUCUGCUCUCGUAUCAGAGGAGCUCUUCUAGGCCAACCAAUUGCAGAUUUCGGUAAUGCUGGACCGACGGUUCUGUGGGCACUGUUGUAGGGCAUGGGAUGGGCUGUGAAGUACAAUUGUGAUAACUUAUAAAUUACUAGUCAUGAACUUAGAAGUAAAAUACUUAGAAAAAAACCCAACGUGUCAUCUUGAUGUUCCUCUCCCAUGACAGUUGUCAGGACUUAUUCCUAAGACACCUCCCCUUCAUGAAUUUAUCUAAUAUUACUGCUUUUAAAUGAAAUCGUGCGACAUGCAGUAUACUUACAGCUCUAUAAUAUUUAAACUUGUCAUGUAGGGACAGUAAUUUUGACCCUUUUUCCUACUGAUGCCUUCAGGCUAUUUCUAGGCUGUUCUGGUCAUUGCAAGCAGUGAUCACUGAGUUUUUAUUCCUUGGGACACUGGUUUGGGUAUCAGGUAUGAAGGAGGCUGAGGACUCCCGGCUGGCAGCUCCAGAGUGCUUUGGCUCCUUCGCUCUGGAGUCUGGAACUCUCGGUUUUGUUCAGUGGAUAGUGUUUCUACAGCCAAAGUCAACUCCUGGUCUCCCACCAGCCACGGAGUUCUGUUAGGGCGGUUGAGUACCUCACACUGGAUGUCCCUAUCAGAAUUAGCAUCAGGUUGUGGCGGAGUGAUAAUGGAUUGUGAGUCUUAGGCGGCUUCCGGGUUCUCACCUCAAGCAGGAUGAAAACAAAAGUCAAACCAAGACAUGAUAAUGCACACCUGCCAUCCCAGCGCUGGGACAGCGGAGGCAGGAGGACCGGGGUCUAAGGCCAGCCUCUGCAGCUGGGCCUAUAGAAAACCUAACGGGAAAAAGCCAACUGUUCUAGGAAGGUGGCUGUGACACUUAGGAAAAGCUCCACUCAGUCUCACUCGUUUCUGAACUGCCGUGGCCUUCAGUACAUCCAUGCCACUUUCUAGAUUAAGGGUUCUCUGUCCUCUAAGGCCACCAGGUGCCAGGAGAGCGGGUGUGAGCUCCCUCUGGCUCUUCCUUGCCUCUCAGGGUCCUAGAGUGUUAGACACUGGAUAGUGGGGCCAGCUUCUGCCUGGCAGCCUCUUCCUCUCCUGAAGGCCAUGCUGGGCUCCUCCUUCACUCUGGUGAGCAGCCCACUGUCCCCUCCGCUGCUCGUGUGUGUGACCCCAGAGCGAGGCCUUGCCUUACUCCGCUGCUGUUGGCCACUCAGCAGAUUUCCUGCAGUUGUGCUAAGGUGACUCUUGUUCCUGUCAGAACUCCAAAUGCAUAGGUGACAUGGUGAGCUCUGUGGGUGCACAGUGUGACAGGGAGGGGUGCAGGGCUGUUGGGCUAACGGCUGUAGUCACAUUUGAACUGCUCACUCCCACUCUGGGGAACAACUGGGCUGUUUCAAUGAACAUUAAGUUCACAUUACUAAACACUAAAUGCCUAUUUAUAUGUGUCUUCAUGUGUGUAAGCAAGUAUGUCCAUGGGGGACCUGGGGCGCACAAAGAUGCUGCCAGCCUUCUGGAAGAUGGUUCCAGUUGGCUUUUCCCCACCCACGCCUUUACCAGUGCUUGUCCCUAAACUUGGUUAUUUGUCAAUGUGAGAAGUGAAGGAUCUUUUUGAUUGUAGUUUUGAUUAGUAUGUUUACUGGCUUACAACUACUCUUUAGCCAUUAAGGAAAUUAACAAUGUUUCUAAUACUUCUGCUACUCUCUGACUCGUUAAUGUUACGUUUUGCUGUUCAGCAUUUAGAAUAUGUGCAUGUACUUAUUUAUUGGUAGUUUUUCUUGCUUUCUGAUUUUUAUGAUGAGCUCGGAAAACUUGUUCUAAUUCAAGAUGAUUCUUUGGUAAACCCCAUGCUUUGUCUCAUGCCUUUUAAGAUUUUAUUUCUGUUGUUUCUAUCUGGACUUAAUUUUGUUGUAAUGAGUGGUGUGUGAACAGGAAACCUUUUGUUGCUACACGUAACUGAAUAACACAGCCAUUGAUCACUGCUUGGCAUGGUCCUGUGUCAGUUUCAAGUCUAAAUGUUACAGUCUGCUUUGAUAUAUGGUAAGGGCAGUCCUACCUUGUAACUGAACCUUUCUAGAAUUUUCCUGGCCAUUCAUGUGUGAUUAUUUCAUUUUCCUUAUGGUGUCUUGAUUUCUUCCUAUACAAGAAUAAAGUGUGUCUUUUCAUUUCCUGCCAGUUACUUAACCUAAUCUGACUUCAAUAUUUUUACACUUGUGUUUAUAUGCGUGCAGUGUAGAGGUCAGAGGGCAAUGCUAUCAGAUUGGCUCUCCUUCCUCUACUUAGCUCUGGCAUUGAACUUAGGUUGGCAGGCUUGACAACAAGCACCUUUACCUCCUGAGCCAUCUCAGUGGCCCUGACUUUGUAUGUGUGAUUGGGCCAGAUGUGGUGGCUCAUGCCUUUCAUCCCAGCAAUUGGGACGCAGAGGAAGGUGGAUUUAUGUGUUUGAGGGCAGCUUGGUCUAUAGAAUAAGUUUCAGGACAGCCGGAGCUACACAGAGAAACCCUGUCUCAAAAAACAAACAGCUAGGGCAUCAUCAGUGCUAGCCUGUGGCCUUAGAGAUCUGUGAUUCAGCACCUUGGUCUGUCCACCUAUGUGUCUGGAUGUCUUAGUCUGCCCCCUGCAGGUUCUGUCCCUUCCAAAACAGUAGCUUCCAUCAUAGAAUAUACUUUUAUUUUAAAAUUACAUUUCUUAAUGUGUGGGGGGGAGGAGUGAUAAGUGCCAUGAGGCACAUGUGCAGGUCAAGGGACAACUUGCAUUCCUUCCGUUGUGUGGAUGGUAAGAGUCAAACUCAGGUUGUCAGCCGUGGUGCAGGCCCCUCAGUGACCCACAGAGUACUUUUCUGUCUUUAUUUGUGGUGGUCACUUAUUGCUGUCACAUUGUCAGUGUCCAGUUUGGUGGCCUUUGUUAAUGACAUGAACCGAAACACACUUUUGAUAAAAAUGCCAGUGAGUUUAUGUAAGCCCAAUAAAUUGCACCCAAAAAGUAGGCUUGGUUGUGCACCCUUAAUCCCAGUGCUUGGGAGGCAGAUUCAGACAGAUCUCUGAGAUUGAGGGCAGCCUGGCCUACAGAGUAAGUUCUAGGUCAGCCAUGGCUACAUAGUCUCAAAAAACCACUAACACCCCUCCCCCCAAAUAGAAUUGUACCCACGGUCACAGGGAAAUUUCCUGUCCCAUGAGUGUGGGUCCCUCCUGGGAAAUUGUGUGGACACAGAAUGUCUGAAUGGAGUCUUUAGCACCAGGACAUGGCUGCUGUGUUCCACUCUGACCUACCUUUUCCUGCUCCCAGCUUGCUUGAACUUUGAACAAAAUGGUAUUAAAUUGUAGUUUUGACUGGUAUAUUUAGCAAUUUAUAGGUGCUCUUUAUACAUGAAGGAAACUAAACAUUUGUGUUGCAAAUACUUCUGUACCUCUCUGGCUUUUACAUUUUAUGGUAUUUUGCUGUUUGGGUGUUUUAAAUAUAUAAAAAAAUCCAUUUAUUAGAAAUUUUUUCUUGCUUUCUGCAUUUUAUGACUCAAAAGCUUGGUCUAAUUCAAGACUUUUUGGGUGAACCCCAUGCUUUGUCCCAUUACUUGGCUCUAUCUGGACUUAGGUUGGUGUGCUGAGUGGGGACAGUAAGCCUGCCGUGGCUGUACAUUUACUGAGCAACACGGGAUGAAACGGUCUGGCCUUGCCAGGCUUCUGAGGCCUCAGUGCCAGCUCUUUGGUGUCUUGCGCCUGCCACCGUGAAACCUUGUCCAGUGGGGCACAUGGAACUGCGUUCCUGUGCUUUUAGGGUUGAGGAGGGGACUGUUGGUCACCUCCUUAACUGCCCUCCUGGUAGGGAUCUCCUGUCGGUUCCCUAGGGUAACACACCCUUCCUCCCUGAGCCUCAUUGUGUGUCCAAGCAAGAGGGCUGGGCCAAGCACAAGUUCCCUUAGCGGGCCAGAGUGAGUAUGUCUGCCUCUGAGAUGUGGGGGCUUCUUAAUGGCUCUGUUUCCGCUUGGAAUGUUUUCUGAUUUGGGAAAGGGCAGGCAGUUCUUGCUCAGGAAUGAAAAUACUGGCCCAGAGUUUAGGGACCAUUGUAAACCCUUAGACUGUAGUUGUCAGGUGUAUCCCCUACAAAUGAGGUUCAGCCACUUCCAGCAAACAGGUAAACAGCUCCCCUCGGUCUGGCAGCUCCAUCUUUGAUUUUGCUUUUGCCUGGUUCUAAGAAUGAACACAGUGUUUGGUUUUGGUUUGGUGCUGUGGGUGGAGCCUGGACUCGCGUUCCAGCUGUGGCUUCUGUCCAUGUGUGAGUUCCGCUAACCGGUGCACUGUGGCCGCUCCUGCCCACCUCUUCUACAGAAUGCUUUUCAGGUUUGCACUUUGUCUUUUAAGACCUCAUGCAAUGGUUUUAAAUUUUGAAACAGGCCUUUGUUUGCUGUUAGCAUGUCAUGUACACCACACUUUCUUCUGGAUCCAUUUUGACAUUCAACCCUUUAGGCUUCCAGAAGUUGCUUUGGUAUUCGGCAUCAGGUAAGGAUCUAAUUUGGUUGUUUCAAGGUGGCUGAUUUCCUCAGUGCCAUGAAUUAUUAACUAAAUAAUGAGUUUCUUUGGUCUAGUUGACUGCAACUGCCUUUCCUAUUCCUGCUACCCAGAGAACGGUGCUGAUGCUGCAGUGUGCAGUGAUUCAUGUUCACACAGCUCAUUCGGUUCACAGCAGCCGACGUUUGUCACUGUGUUCAGGGUUCCCGGUUCCCGAUACCCGUGAGCAGGCCCUUCACCAGCACUCCUGCUUCAACAAUAUGAAGGUUGGUCAACGCCCCAUUGUUACCCAGAUCUCCUGGCAAACCCGGGUACACCAGGACCUCAUGGAGACAAAGCGGUUAUUAGUAAGGCAAAACCAAGGCCUCUUCGUGUAGGUUUUUAUGCAUCCGUAAACUUUGUUCUUGAAGUGAAAUGUUUUGGUGUGUGGCUGGUGUGGUUUUCUGUUAGUGACUAAUGAGGGUGACACACGGAAAGACACACAUACUCGCCGGGAAGUGUGGACGCUGGCCUCACCAGUAGGGCCAUCGGGAAGGCAAAAAAACACACCUGCUAAAAACACAGGAGGUUUGAGUGAGGUCACCAGCUCUCACCCUGGGCCUGUCUCUUGUUAUUUCAUGACCUUCCUUCUGCCACGGCUUCUCCAUCUGUGAGAACGUUGUUGUCAUCUACCUCAGAUGUGUUAGGGCUAGUGAGGUAACGCCCUGUCUGGCGCUCUUGAGGUAAGCCUGUCCUCGUGGUUUCCAGUCUUUGGUGGUUAUGCCACCCAUGGGGCUCAUCCGUCUUCCAUGCAUCUCGUCUCCUGUUUUGUUCGCAUUUAUUAUAAUAACUAAGAAGUCGUAAGCGUCGCAGUCAGGUUCCACCAAUAGCCACAUUGGCCCUGGGAGCUACAUGCCAGCCCCCACCUCAUGGUGCUUUGGGAGGCCCUUGUUCUGUUUGGUGCACAGGAUUAGUGGCUUGAUUUAUUUAUAGUAUUUUGCAGUUUAAAUAUUUGUGUAUUUCAAUAUACUGUUUAUUUUUGGUGAAAUUAUGAGACUUUCUUUUAAAUUUUUUUUUGAAAAAUUGAGUUAUAACUCAAACUAUAACUCAUAAGUCCAUGACUGUGAGGUAGUAGUUCUGUGGUUGCUUUGCACAUAUUCGAUUUUGCACAGCUGUUGACCUGUUAUUUGUGUGGGUGGAGGCUCCAUCCUCACAGCCUCCUACCUAUCCUCCCUCUAGUCCCACAGCCUUUGUGCUGCCCGCCUGUGAAUCUGCCUGUCCUGGGCAUCUGGUGUAAGUGUGACGCAGCCUUUGUCUCCUCGUGCCUCUCACUUCCCAGGGCAUAGAUCUUCAAGGUCCAUCUGGACAGUGGAUGAGGGCGAUGCGUAUGAUAAAGGUUUAUUCCUCAUUGUGGAGGAAUAAUAUUCCACUGCAUUGAUUUACCACAUUUUGUUUAUCCAAGUUCCUUUGAAGGUUUGGAGUGUUUCUGCUUAUUGCCUGAUGUAAACAAUGCUGCUAUGAACAUUUUUGUGUUCAAGUCUUUAUGUGAAAUGUAGGAGGAGAUACUUCCGGAUGAUGCAGUAGCUUGGUACUUAAUUGUUCUGAGGAGCUGCAACUGUUUCCAUGUCAUUACUAAUGUCUAAGGUCCCAGCUCUUGUGCCCUCACCAGCCCUGGUUAUUGGCUGACUCUCUAGCCAUCCUGCUGGAGUUAAAGAGGCAGCACAGGUGAGGGCAAGCGCCCUUUGAUGCACUGUCAGCAGGGUCGUGUCUGCCUUGAGGCCCUGCCCUUGCUGGUCCUUUGUUUCUCAAGUAGGUUCCUGUGUGUGUGUGUGUGUGUGUGUGUGUGUGUGUGUGUGUUUUACUGGGUAUUAAACACAGGACCUCUUUUGUGUUUUGUUUUAAAAGUGUGGGCCACUACAGCUACCACCACCACCUGGCUGAACCCAGGGUCUUUUGUAUGCCAGGCAGUCAUUCUGCUAAUGAGCCACAUCCCCAGGUAGUGACUUUUAACAUAGUUUAUAUUGUGUGUAUAGAUAUAUGUGGGCAGAGGACAGCUUAUGGGGGCCAGUUUUCGUCCUCCACCACAUGGGUCCAGGGACCAAAUUCAAGCAGUCAAGCUUUGAUGGCAAGCGCAUUUACCUACUGAGCCAUGUUAUAGCCCAAAUCUACGUUCUACAAGUUGUUUGGGGGCGAGGAAUGUAGUUCACGUAGUAGAGAGUUUGCCUGAGGCUUUCUCUCCAGUACUGCAGGAAUUCAAAAGUGACCUGACUGUAGAGGAAGCAGACAGCUGGCUCGCUCUUUUUCCUGCUGCCGUGUCCCAGAAACCACAGGUCCUAGCAGAGGGAAGGCAGCCCCUGUGUCCUGGCAAGGUGAGCCAACACUGCCGCCUCCUGUGCCGUGUGACGAUGUGGUCCCGGGAAGACAUCCACUUGUUUACUUAAUUGAUGGAAAACUCUUAAUUUUUAAAAAUCAUGAUGUUGAAUUUAUUUAUUCAACCUUUAUUGUACUUUUUUAGGAAGUUAAGAACAGCUUUAUUGAGGAAAAUAAGAUAAUUGUAUGCCCUCAUGAUGAGCUUCUGGGCUGUAGAAGGAUCAAGCCCUUGAUGUGCUGAAAGACUUGGACUCCACUUGUGUGCCCCUUACUCUUUCUUCAGACCUCACUUCUAGAGUUGAGCAAAGAUGCUUAAUUUCCCUCUAAUCACCUGGGCUGCACGUGAGACCCUGGAUCCCUGAAUCAAGUGUGUUAGUCAUAACCCUCUGAAUGCUGAAGGACUUCUGUAGCCUGCAGGGCCCUUACCACUGAGCUGUAUGAUCCAUCACCAGGGCGCCACGCUCACUCAGGGAGGUGGGGAGUGCCUGUGAGAUGCUGGAGGACUGUAGCUGCAGCUGUGGGAUGUCUGCAAAUGGCAAAUUCCUGAGCUUAGCCAAUGUUCCCAAAAGAGCAACUUUCCAUCCUUCCAUAUUCAAGCAUGCAUUGACCCUGCAGACAAGACCCUGAGCUUGCGUCCACUGCAUCAAAUGCUUUGUCUCUGAGCAAUAGCUGAGUUUGGGCAUAGGGCUGUAAGCACAAGGCUGUCUCUUAGGGGUAAGAGCCGCAUGGGGAUGUGGGCUGUAUGUACCAGCCAUUCUUAGCGCCACAUUAGUGGGUUUAUGAAUAGUAAUAGCUCAUCUAUGAUGGCUAAACCUAAACCAUUCCCAGGCCUACAGUUUGGUUUGUUUGAGACAGGGUCUCACUGUUCAGCCCCAGUUGAUCUGGAACUUGUAAACUAGGAAGCCCUCAAACUCAGCAAUCGACCUUCCUCUGCCGCUCAGUGCUGGAGUUAAAGGUAUGUGCAACUGUGCCCCACCAACCCCGGCUUUAUUUUGUUGACAUUGAAGGCUAUGUGGACUUCAGGACACUGCCAGGGAAAGUUGGACUCUGGGCGUCCUAGGUGUCGUUAGAGACAGUCCGGAGGUCCGGUCUGGCCCAGCCUGUAGGUCUUUCUCAGGUUGUCAGUGGUCUAGUUUUAUUUGUUUUGUUUUUAGUUUUCCGAGACAACGUUUCUCUAUAGCCUUAACUGUCCUGGAACUAGCUCUCUAGAUCAGGCUGGCCUUGAACUCACAGAGAUCCGCCUGUCUCUGCCUCCCCAGUGCUGGAAUUGAAGGAAGUGGGCCACCACUCCUCAACUAGGUUUUUUUUGUUGUUGUUUUUUAGGGCACAAAAUCUCACUGUUACCUAGUUGGUCUCAAGUGAUCUUCUUACUUUAGUCUCCAAGUAGCUAGGUCUACAGGGUGCCACUGGCCCAUCUACAUUUCUUUUUAUUUACUUUUUUGGUAUGUGUAUAUGUAUUAUAUAGGUGUUUGUAUGUAUGUCUGUGCACCACAUGCAUGCAAUAGCCCUGGAGGCCAGAAGAGGGCAUCAGAUCCCCUGAGCCUGGAGUUACAGAUGGUUGUGAACUGCCAUUCGGUGCUAGGAUUUGAACCUGGGUCCUCUGGAUGAGUGGUUAGUGUUCUUAACAGCUAAGCUACUUCUCCACCAUUGCCAUCCCCAGUCUACAUUUCUUAAAUUCUCGAAGGCAUCUUCUCAACAAUGAAGUAGGGAUAAAUACAAUGUGAAGUUGCAGAGCCCCUUGCUGGGGGCAGGGCGGGGGUGACAGUAGUGCAUCUGUGAUUCUCAGCCUUGUCUUCAUCCACAUAAGCACAGCAUGUGGUUUCAUGUGACACCAGGGUGCCUGGCCCUCCUCUGCAGGCUCAGGCUCUCUGGAAGUCACUUCUAGGUUACUGAACUACUCAAUAUUUCUAUCUCGUUGUAAGUCAGCUCAUAAAGUGUGUUUUUCAAUACAAUUGCCAUUUCAUGCAUGUAGUGCAUAUGUGUGUAUAUGUAUGUAUAUAUGCAUUGGCAUCCUCCUUAAGAAUGGCCUUUCUCCUGGUUUAAUUCCUGAUUUUUCUUUCUCUUGAAUAGACUUUGAAGACAUCCAGAUUGGCCUUUUCCAAGAAGCUUUAGAGGAAGCAAGCAGCUCUCUGGUUUUUGUUUUGUUUUGGUGCUGGGGAUGAAACCUUGUGUGUGCAGGGCUGCUCAGCACAGUCCCCAGACUCCUGAUGUGCAAAGUCACACACUUCUGUCAACAGAGAGGGAGGUGCUGGUUGUGGACUCUUGCUCUGAUUCUGCCUUUGGCUCCAGGCAAGGCCCUCAGUUGCUGACGGUGGAGCAUCUCUGAGGAGGCCUCUCAAAACCACCAGGGAGCAAGUGCUUGGGGUUUCCAGCAAAGGAAAAUAGUGAACUGUUGGCCUUGGCUUCAGAUUUCGUCGGUCCCUUUAUCAGCAUCCCUCUGCCUAGACACUGAGCAGACCUGUGAACACCAGCAAGGUGACUGGCCCUGCCCUGCCCCUCACAGGAUCAGGCCUCAGACGGAGAUGGCACAAGCCAGGAGCAAAGGCUGUGCUCUGAUGCUCCCAUUUCCGUGGGCUUGUAAGGCCCAGACUUUGAGUCAGGUUGGGACUUAAAUGACCAUGCCUAUUUCCUCUGCUGCAGUGAGUAAGUCUGUUCUUUGCCUGGUGGGGAGCUGAAGGGAGGCUGGGAGAGAAAGGGGGUACCAGCCAGAGGGUUGGGCCAUGAGGAGAUAGAGAAGGGGAUGGAGAUGGUGGGGUCUGCAAGGGCCGGCCUAUGUGGGACUCCACAAACUUCAAUGUGUCUGUGUAUGUGUAGAUCUACUGUGUGUUUAUAUGUGUAUACAUGUGAACCUGUGCUGUGUAUUUGUGUGUGCAUAUGAGCCUACUGUGUGUUUGCAGCAAGUGAACCUGUGAGUUUGCAUAUGUGUGCUUGUGAACCUGUGGUGUGGGUGUGGGUGUGAAGUGGACGCGUGAGCUGAGAGGAUCCUGUUCUCAGCAUGGCCUGAGCCAGGUGCUCUGGGCAGGUUACAGCUUCGGACCCUCGGCUCUCGCCUGGACUGUCCUGAGGACAUGGGUUCCUGAGCGUCUCCACAUUUACAGAAUCUGGGCUCCCCCAUGACACGAAGAAGACUACAGGACUUACAGGGGUGCUUUGUUCACCUUGUGGCUUUGGGACCUUAGUAACUCCCUCCCUCACUGGAACCUGGACAGCAUGUUAGAGAUCACAGGAAAGCUGGCGGGGACACUGCUUCCAACUUGACUUCAUUUCCAAACCACGACAGUAUCCUGGAAGGACUCCCGCUGGUGACCACAGUCUCAGAGAAUGGGAGGCUGAUGGGCUUGUCUGUAUGACUUAGGUGGCUGGGACCCAGCAAACCUGGAGGGCCUGCUUCACUCAGCUAACCAAGUGUUGAAGCCGCCUUAGUUCUUAGAUCUGUUUAAUUGUGAGUUAUUGGCAUAAAGUAGGAAGCGUGGAAAGUAUAAAACGAAGGUAAGAUUCCUGUUUCCUCUCCUACCCGGCCCCACCACACAGAGGCAGCCCUCAGGUGGCAUAGAAUCUUUCUGGAAAUGUCUACUCCUGCAAAACACAGCUCCUGCUAUCUCAGGGCAAACAGGCUCAACUUCCGGGUCUGAUUUCAUGCUCUUCUCAUGUGGGUGAGAAACAUGCAUGGGAAGGCAGGGGGACUGGAGUCCCCUGGAGCCUUUAGCGGGUGUCAGGGCAGGUAGGAGUGAUCCUGGGAGGGCCUGGAGCCGCCGCAGGUGUUUCUUUUCCUGACCGCGGCUCAUGGCCGCGCUCAGGUUUUGCUUUUCACCUUUGUCUGUGAGAACGUGAGCAGAAAAAAGCAAAA
This is a non-coding RNA of Myodes glareolus (Bank vole), 18872 nucleotides long. NCBI's taxonomy places the organism in Eukaryota, Metazoa, Chordata, Mammalia, Rodentia, Cricetidae. The record is from RefSeq and is a predicted model, not a curated record.